Long non-coding RNA from Drosophila gunungcola (fruit fly), 1055 nucleotides. RefSeq lists it as uncharacterized. Lineage: Eukaryota; Metazoa; Arthropoda; Insecta; Diptera; Drosophilidae. The transcript is spliced from 3 exons. The record is from RefSeq and is a predicted model, not a curated record.
UAAAUUGUAAUUAACAGCAAACACACUACGUUUUUACCCCACCAAUGAACAUAAGAAUUCUGAAUUAGGGAAUACAAGAUUAAAUAUGAACCAAUUUACAAACAUACAUACAUAUUCACACCUGUACAUAAUGGAGCCCUACGGAUAAACACAAUAAGAUUCCUUACUGGUACGUAAAAGUAUCCAAAUAUUCAAUCCACUUAUAUGGAUAUGGAUUUCACCUGAAAUAAAACGAAACUCCCCCAAUAAUAAAGAGAGCCUUGGUUUGGCGAUCUGCAAUUCCGGAUAAUGCAUUAAGGAUAAGGGCAUUCGAAGCUUCGGCUUCCAAAAUUGGCCUCCCUUUCUCGUAAGACACAACAAACUACAUUCCGCGCCGUAUCGACCGAUACCCCCGAUUUUCCUUCCUCUGGAGGUGUUCGUUCGGUCUAGUAUGUGGAUAGAUGGUAACGAGAGCGAACUAGGGUUGAAGUCAAACAUAUGUAAGGAUGAUUGACAGCUAAUGGAAACAAAAGCAAUUCGAAUAUACGUGUGUGCAUGUGUAAGAUGCAAAUGAAUUGCAAAACAAGAAACAAAUUAAUAUCCGCUUAACUGCUACAAAUAUCAUUAGGCAUCUUGUGCACACAAAAACACACGUAACAACACUAAUUUGAAUCGGCCAAAAUACGGAUUACGGAUGGGCUCGUGACAAAGUACCGAUUACUAUUCGUUCCGAUCACUCUAAGUAUUCACAAUCUUUGAAAUUCCACUUUGAUGUGCCGGCAAUAACAAAAAACAUGAUGGUUUUGUUAAUGGAUUUCUAUAAAGGCUUCCGACUGUUAAAAGACCCGACUGGAAGAACACCCGUGGCGAUAAUUUAAAGCCACUGUCUAAGCCAGCAUACCUUUCUAUACCCUUUUAUGCGUGGGGUAUGGAGGCUUGGCCAACUGACUGCAAUAAGCAUAGCGAGCUAUUUUAAGUUUUUGCUGGAUCUUUCAUUUAUUUCAAAUGUUUAAUAACAUUUGAAUGCAUCGUAAUUCAGGUAAGAUUCAAAUAUAUUUUACAAGAUAUCAGCAAGU